AGGACUAACGCUGGCGGCGUGCCUAACACAUGCAAGUCGAACGAGGUAGCAAUACCUAGUGGCAGACGGGUGAGUAACACGUGGUCAACCUGCCUUCGCGUGGGGGAUAACUAGUCGAAAGGUUAGCUAAUACCGCAUACGAUCGUUUCGGGGCAUCCCGAGACGAUGAAAGGAGCAAUCCGCACGAAGAGGGGACUGCGUCCCAUUAGUUAGUUGGUGGGGUAAUGGCCUACCAAGACUCCGAUGGGUAGCUGGCUUGAGAGAGCGACCAGCCACACUGGAACUGAGACACGGUCCAGACUCCUACGGGAGGCAGCAGUGAGGAAUUUUCCGCAAUGGGCGAAAGCCUGACGGAGCGACGCCGCGUGUGGGAAGAAGGCCUUCGGGUCGUAAACCACUGUCGAAGGGGACGAUAUUGACGGUACCCUUGGAGGAAGCCCGGCUAACUACGUGCCAGCAGCCGC
RNAcentral lists this ribosomal RNA (464 nucleotides) under uncultured bacterium. RNAcentral describes it as "SSU rRNA". It matches the Rfam family "Bacterial small subunit ribosomal RNA", at positions 26 to 518 of the family's 1533-position model. The record is from RNAcentral.